GGUUCUAUAGAACUCUCCACCCUUGAGCUAUGUUGGGGAGUCCAUGGUGGGCUAGUCAGGCAGCAAAGAACAGACACAUGAACUUUUAGAAUACAUUCUAACAUAGGCUGGUUAGGGUCUAUGGAGCUCUUGGCUCUUGAUGGAUCUACAGGGAAAAUUUAAUGGCAGACUACAGAUGGGAACACAGAACAGACACAGCACUGCUCCAAUGACUCAUUGUGACAAGGAGGCAACCAGAGGAUUCCUACAGGAGAGGACAAACCAUCUUCCAAGUUGGAGAGACUUAGAAUGCGAGCUCCUUGAGGGAAGGGAGCAAGUUUUUGUCUUCCUUUGUGUCCCUAAGGCUUAGGACACUGCCUGGAAUACAACUUCAGAGGAAGAAAGAGAACAAUACAGGACGACCAAGAACUAGAAGGAAGCAGACCAACUCGGAGUGUCUCUGCUCUGUGAACAAGAACCUGACGGAAGUGAAAGCGCGGGAGAAUGAGGGAAACUCCCAACCUUGAAGAUGCACCUAGAGCUUUCCCAUAUUCCCACUCUGGACCAGGAUAAUCAGUAUUUUCAUCUUUGCUCAUUUCUUUCUCUCUGGUCUUGGUUAAGGUCUUGACUUUGGCUGGGUCUUUGCCCUUUCUUCUCUUUCUUACAUUUUCCACUUUUUCUGCCUCUUCCUCCCUCUUCACUCCCAG
Long non-coding RNA from Monodelphis domestica (gray short-tailed opossum), 686 nucleotides. RefSeq lists it as uncharacterized. The record is from RefSeq and is a predicted model, not a curated record. Lineage: Eukaryota; Metazoa; Chordata; Mammalia; Didelphimorphia; Didelphidae.